RNAcentral lists this non-coding RNA (107 nucleotides) under Dorea sp. RNAcentral's name for it is "TPP sequence". It matches the Rfam family "TPP riboswitch aptamer (THI element)". Rfam says of the family: Vitamin B(1) in its active form thiamin pyrophosphate (TPP) is an essential coenzyme that is synthesised by coupling of pyrimidine and thiazole moieties in bacteria. The previously detected thiamin-regulatory element, thi box was extended, resulting in a new, highly conserved RNA secondary structure, the THI element, which is widely distributed in eubacteria and also occurs in some archaea. The record is from RNAcentral. Lineage: Bacteria; Bacillati; Bacillota; Clostridia; Lachnospirales; Lachnospiraceae.
AUAAGUACCUGGGGGAGCCUAUAUGGCUGAGAUGUAUGCAGACGCAUACAGACCCUGAUAACUUGAUCCGGGUAAUGCCGGCGUAAGGAAAGGAGAAUUUCAUAAUG